GACGAACGCUGGCGGCGUGCCUAAUACAUGCAAGUCGAGCGAAUGGAUUAAGAGCUUGCUCUUAUGAAGUUAGCGGCGGACGGGUGAGUAACACGUGGGUAACCUGCCCAUAAGACUGGGAUAACUCCGGGAAACCGGGGCUAAUACCGGAUAACAUUUUGAACCGCAUGGUUCGAAAUUGAAAGGCGGCUUCGGCUGUCACUUAUGGAUGGACCCGCGUCGCAUUAGCUAGUUGGUGAGGUAACGGCUCACCAAGGCAACGAUGCGUAGCCGACGUGAGAGGGUGGUCGGCCACACUGGGACUGGGCAACGGCCCAGACUCCUACGGGAGGCAGCAGUAGGGAAUCUUCCGCAAUGGACGAAAGUCUGACGGAGCAACUCCGCGUGAGUGAUGAAGGCUUUCGGGUCGUAAAACUCUGUUGUUAGGGAAGAACAAGUGCUAGUUGAAUAAGCUGACACCUUGACGGUACCUAACCAGAAAGCCACGGCUAACUACGUGCCAGCCGCCGCUGUAA
RNAcentral lists this ribosomal RNA (515 nucleotides) under uncultured bacterium. Its description in RNAcentral is "partial 16S ribosomal RNA". It matches the Rfam family "Bacterial small subunit ribosomal RNA", at positions 28 to 523 of the family's 1533-position model. The record is from RNAcentral.